Molecule: long non-coding RNA, 211 nt
Organism: Sphaeramia orbicularis (orbiculate cardinalfish)
Lineage: Eukaryota; Metazoa; Chordata; Actinopteri; Kurtiformes; Apogonidae
Exons: 3
Source: RefSeq, a predicted model, not a curated record
UGUUGUAGAAAAUGACAGUGUUUCCACGGUAACUACGGAGCCUCUGAACGUCCAAAUGGGUCAUAUCUGAUGACCAUGAAAAGAUGAAAAACUGCAUUUUACAUCAAUUAUUUACAAAGAUUGGUAGGAUUAGCGGAUCAGUAGAUAUUAAACACUUUAGAUCAGUAGAUGGUUUUGGUCACCGGUGACUGUUUGGGUCUUUAUGGGUUAA